Molecule: long non-coding RNA, 535 nt
Filed under: Olea europaea (common olive)
Lineage: Eukaryota; Viridiplantae; Streptophyta; Magnoliopsida; Lamiales; Oleaceae
Description: long non-coding RNA (OEUR_LNC003874)
Source: RNAcentral
CAAGGGCUCCCAUUUCAUAUGUAUCACUAAAAAUACUUCCAUUGUGUAUUGUCAAAGGCUAAUGCAAGAAUCAAUGCUAAAGACUACAUUUACUCAACUCUCUCUCAUUUACUUGCAAUACACAAAUCGAGUUUAUACACUUUUACAUAUACAUUUACGAGCACCGGUUGGUAAUUAUUGUACAAUCGGAUUACGAACAACCCGCCGGAUUCCAAACGUCACCGUCCCGCAUCGUUAGGCUACUCCCAAACCCCUUUGAACCGCUCGUUUUAGACCGUCCACGUGUCUUAGCGUGUUGGACAUUCGUCCACGCAAGCGCAGGUGGGACCGACAUCUGUUGGAGCACUUUUUGGGGUCAACAGGUACAAUUCUUGUAUGUAUUUUUGUGCUGUCUCCUCAAAUUUAGCUGUCAGAAUCAUACAAACAUAAAUAUAAAAUGCAAAGAUGUACUCACUCAAUGACUAUCAAAAUGGCAUUAAUAUUUUUUGCGUUAGAGGAUUUUGUUGUUUGCCAUUCAACAUCCUUGGGAUCUUCG